This 75-nucleotide transfer RNA is filed under the name Bacillota bacterium. Its description in RNAcentral is "tRNA-Arg". It matches the Rfam family "tRNA". From Rfam's summary of the family: Transfer RNA (tRNA) molecules are approximately 80 nucleotides in length. Their secondary structure includes four short double-helical elements and three loops (D, anti-codon, and T loops). The record is from RNAcentral. Lineage: Bacteria; Bacillati; Bacillota.
GCACCCAUAGCUCAAUGGAUAGAGUUUGUGUUUGCGGAACACAAUAUGCAGGUCCGAUUCCUGCUGGGUGCACCA